RNAcentral lists this long non-coding RNA (986 nucleotides) under Physcomitrium patens. RNAcentral's name for it is "long non-coding RNA (PPAT_LNC002204)". The record is from RNAcentral. Lineage: Eukaryota; Viridiplantae; Streptophyta; Bryopsida; Funariales; Funariaceae.
GGAUUUAAGUAUGUGAUGACUUUAUAAGAGCUUUGCAAAGUCACGAUUGUUUUAGGUGAUUGUGGAAUUUGUGAAAUAAAAAGAGUAUUAUAUUUUGGAGAAUUUCAUGAGUUUGAUAAUAGAUUUGCAAUUCAAAUUUUGAGAACUUAUGAGUAUAGUUGUUUUAAAUGUAUGCUAUAAGUUUGAGCUUGAUCAAAUAAUUGAAUUGAACGUUAUUGAAUUUCAAAUAGGUUGAGUUCUUAGAAAUUGGACUUUGAAGGAUAGUUAGGAUUUCUAAGAUCUUUAGCAAUCUACUAAUUGGAUUUGAGUGAAAUUUAUGUAUGAAGAUAAUAGACUUCAUUUGCUACAUAUAUGUGAAAUUUGAAAAUAAUUGAAUAGUUUAAAAAGGAGAUAUUGGCAUUGGAAGUUUAAUAUUUAGAUUGAAGUAGGAGAUUGACUAAUAGCUAAGUGGGUUUUAGAAUUUUUCUUCCAUUUAGUAAGUAUAAUUAUCUUCAAAUUAGUUGUACUAUUUUUUAACUAAGAAAUUGAGAGGUGUGUAAAUUUUCAAGCAAGAUGAAUGGUUUAAUUGAUAGAUAUUUGGAUUCUAAUGUGCCUUAAGAUUUAAUUUAGGAUUUAGGAUUUAUUAGGAUUUGGUUUAAGAUUUAGGAUUUAUUUAGGAUUUAAUUUAGGAUUUAUUUAGGAUUUAAUUUAGGAUUUAGAGUCAUACUAGGAUUUGAUUUAGGAUUUAAGAUUUAGAAUUUAGGAUUUAUUUAGGAUUUAAUUUAGGAUUUUAAGUUUGCUUAGGAUUUAAGAUUUGGCCUAGGAUUUGAUUGAAGUUCAUUAGGAUUUUAAUUAGGAUUAAAUUAUGAAUUAAUUGAAAUUUAUUUGAGAUAUAUUUCUGAUUAUUUUAAUAUUUCUUUUGGAUUUCUUAAAAAUUCUUUUAAGAUUUAUUGUAGAUUUCUUUUUAACUUUUUAAAGAAUUUUUAUUAUUUCUUUUGUAAUUUCUU